AUGAAUUCAGGGAGUGUGUUCUUCUUCACCAGAGGAAGGUCACUAGAGGUUGGAGUUCACUCGAACUGGUUCCACUGUAUAAUGAAUGAAGCCAGAGGGGAAGGUUUAUUGUGCCAAGGAUCUGCUUUGAAACGGCUUAACUCCCUGGAAACAAAGGCUGAAAUCCCAGCAGUUGCUUCCGACUCUUUGUGAUCUCCUGGACCAGCCCACGCCAGAGCUCCCUGUCAGCUGUCGACACCCCCAGUUCCUUCAAGGUCAAGCCAGUCACUUCAAGGAUAGCAGGAACUAGACCUUCUGAUUAACAGAAAUGAGCAUCUGUUAUGAGCUGUGUGCUCAGUAAGUAUGACUUGCAAGCAGGCUUUUAGGCACAAAGAUCCAGGUAGGGAACUUUUACCUCCUGUAUCCUUGGCCAACUUGGAAGAAGAAAUCCUUCAUUUAAAAAGUACAAACUGGGACUUUCCUAUAACAACCCACUCCACUUCCUGCUGAAAAAG
Molecule: long non-coding RNA, 494 nt
Filed under: Anolis carolinensis (green anole)
Lineage: Eukaryota; Metazoa; Chordata; Lepidosauria; Squamata; Anolidae
Description: lncRNA (ENSACAG00000037186.1)
Source: RNAcentral